UUUUCAGUUUUUGCAUUUAGUUUUCAUUAUAAGCCUUUUAUUAAUUUGUUUCUUUUAAAAUCUUAUUUUCAGGUACCAUUAAUCAUUCUUUUGGCGUGUGCACAAUUAGGAACAAGAGGUAAGUCUCUAAACGAGUUGUGUGUAUAAUAUUUCAAUAUGUUUCCUUUUGAGAACAACGUAUAUGGUUCACAAGACCGUACAUAUUAUAGUGAUCAAUUUAAUUCUCAUUCUUUUGACUUCCAACCAUACUUGGGAUAUAAUCAAAACCAAUCUUUUGCAUAUGAACAAUCACAAGGAUUGGAGGAUGGGUGUACUUUUAAUCAGUUUAAUUCUAGACAUGUGCAGAUGCUCGAUCAUAUUCUCUAUGAGUAAAGGCAGUGGAACAACUUAGUAGACAACCAACCGGACCUUGUUUCAAUGAGUCUUGCCCAACUCCUGAUCGUAUUUAUGAUCAUCCACCGAUUCAAAGGGAUGAGACUUGGGCUGGAAACUAUGAAAGUGGUGUGUGUCCAAGUUUGGCGGAGCAAUCUUCAAAUCAGAAAUUUGAUAGUUUUGUUGAAUCUGUUAUUCCCGUGAUGCAACAUAUGCUUCAAACAACAAAACAGUUUUGUAAAUUUUCAGUUGAGUUACAAUGAAUCACUCCAAGAAAAUCAGCGGAAUAUAGACAACAUCAGACAUGACAUGAAUCAAAUUCAAGAAGAGUGGAACAAGGAAGAGGUUCAAACUCAUUCUAUCAUUCCCAUGGAAGCCAAUAUAGAGUAUGAUAAAUCCGAAGAAGACGAAUUUUUUAAUGUUGAUAAUGAAGGUGUAACUAGCUCAACUCUUGAUCGUGAUAAUGAUCAUUCACCUAUUCAAAAGGAAGAAGUUGAGUCUAGAAACACUAAAGUUAUUAAUGGUAAGACUUAUGUUGUGUAUGAGAGUGAUGAUGAUUAUGACUUCUUUGUGAAUAACACCCCUAAUUCAGAGAUUGUGAAUACUUUGAAUAAGAAGUCAACUUGUGAUGACUUACUUGGAGCAGAUUUCGAUUUUGAUGAUGAAGAUUUGGAAGUUAUAGAAGAAACUGAUGAAGAAUGGCUCGUAAAGAGUUUGAAUGAGAAUUGCGAUACUUGUGAUGUAGGAGAAUCAAUGGAAUUUCUCAGAAAUACCGAGGAUCCCGUAAUGUGUGAGAUUAUGCAAGGUUUGUCUAACAAUUUACAUGAAUCUCUAUCUAAUGAUGAUCCUCCCAACUUGAAGUAGUUUCUCAAAGAGUUGCUAAUCCAUCUUUUAGGAAAAUACCAAACAAUUAUGUGCUUCAAAAGUUCUUUAUGAAUUUCUUGCUUCGAAGUAUCCACCAUAUGUGUUUGAGUCUAAUACCAUGCAGGUUUGCGAAGAAAAACCAAUAGAAGUGCCUUCCACUUAUGUUUUGUAUACACUUCCAAGUGUAGAAAAGACUAAGUGUGUGGGUAACUCUAGUGGGAUGAUAAUUUCACUUUUCCCACCAUUUGCUAACAUUCUUGUGAAGCUUUUGCUAUCAAUGCAGAUUGUUUUGUGGGUGGAUCCCCAAAUUUUCAGAUUGUUGAUAUAUGGGGAGUCUAUUUUGAAUGUUUCUCGUAUGCGUCAAUCAGGUGUUUUCGAGUCAUGCAACAUCAAAGGAGGCAAAAAAAAACUUAAUUCAUUGUUGUGCGCAUUAGGCACCGGUGGACUUGAAGUUAGCAGGAAAGCAAGGCUUUAAAGUGUCAAACAGAAGAAUCACUAGGUGCAGGAGUGACUUUCACCCCAGCUGAGGAAUGCUAGACACAGGGGCAUCCUUUCACAUUUACAGUACUCCAAAAACUAGAUUGAGUAAACACAAGUUCAGUUUUCUUUCCCUGAACCAAGUUCUCAAACGGCUGCAACAUAGAUUCAGCUGUGUACGAGUGUUUCGAAGGGUCAAGUUCAGGUUCAGUUCAGAAAGUACAAGACAUGCUCGAGUUUGUAUGGUGGGUUUGAGCAAGUUUUGGGCAGAAUAAACACCGGAAAGACAUGGAAGAUACAGUUCUGCCAUUGAUAAUCUUGAUGAAGGGUGAGAAGCCUAUCUGAAGCCGAGAAGAAGAAGGAAGAAUGGAGUAAGUUUACUGAUGUAUUGGACAGAGUUUCAAGCCGUUGUUCAAGCCAAGAAAUGCAGUGACAGAAGUUCAAUAUACUGUCAUUGAAAGUAUGGCUCAUUGGCCAUGAUUGAGAUGGAAUUUAGAGUAUUGAAUGAAUGGGUUUGUGUUGAAUGUGAUUGUUGCAGAGAAGGAGUUAUAUGGAAUGAUUUUAGGAUCAGCAGCAGGUUCAUAACUGUAACAGCAGCAAACUGCACACAAGAUGCUUAACGAAAAUUCUGAAUGACCAUUUCUUCACUUUAUGUAGUUCUGCUUCUACCAGUUUACUGCUCCAAGUAUGCCGUGGAGUGGUGAGUCUUUGCACAGGUUUAGGAGAGGAUUUAGAAGACAAUAGAGAGUAGGAGAACUGGCUCCAUUGUGAGAGUUGUUUUGGUUGUAUUUUUGGCCAGAAUAUUGGUGAAAGAAGGCGCUUGAGCUAACUAGUUCGCCAUGAGCUUAUGGACUGUGUACAAGGGCUUUUUAGCAGUGGUUUGGACUUGAUUUAGAAGGCAACGGCAAAAGAAUAUUUGGGUCCCAGUAUUGCUUCAGUUUUGGACUGAAUUUCUUGCCGAGAUAACAACCAACAGAUGCUGGCUUUGUGAUAGUUUAGAAGUGAUGAACGAUGACUGAUUGUUUAGUACUUUUGGAAGUUGCGAAGAAGUUGGGUUCAAUAUGAUUCGAAAUUACAGGGUUGAGAACUAUAAAAGAACCAAAACACCGCAGAAGAGCAUAAUCUCAUACCCCCUUACCACUGUCGUUCACAGCCAAAAGAGAUGAGCUUUUGCUCCUCUCCAAACCCUUCCAUCGCCACCUUCUCAUACCAUCAGCAUACCACCAUCUGCAUCCCCACUACCAUCUGCAUAACAUCCAUCUCAUAGCAUAUCCACCUGCAUCCACCAGCAUACACAAUUCCAUCUUCACCACCAUCCUUGCAUACCACCAGUUCCUAGUAUCACAUGCAUACAUCACCAACAACAGCUGGAGUUCAGUUCCAUCCUCCUUUCACAACAGAAACUUCCAUCACCAGCACUCCACCUGUUCGCAGAAACUUCAACUCGCACCAACAGCAAAACAGCAGACCACCUCCACAGUUGCAGUCAACAUCAUCAUUCCACAAUACCAUAUCAUCCAGUCCACAGUACCAUUCCACCGGUCCACCGGUUGCUGCCUUGGUUUGCUAGUUUGGUUUGCUGUUACAGUUUCAUAUUUUUGUUUCUUUAUCAUGAACUCCAGUAGCUAAUCAUCUUGAUUAGGGACACUUUUGACGUCCGAACAUGAACUCAAAUUAAGAUUUAAACUGCCUGUCUUCUUGCAAUCUAUUUCGUUAUUAUUCAUUCACUACGGUACCAAUGUUGUUUAUGAA
This is a long non-coding RNA of Papaver somniferum (opium poppy), 3465 nucleotides long. RefSeq lists it as uncharacterized. The record is from RefSeq and is a predicted model, not a curated record. The transcript has 2 exons. Lineage: Eukaryota; Viridiplantae; Streptophyta; Magnoliopsida; Ranunculales; Papaveraceae.